This 301-nucleotide ribosomal RNA is filed under the name uncultured bacterium. RNAcentral's name for it is "partial 16S ribosomal RNA". It matches the Rfam family "Bacterial small subunit ribosomal RNA", at positions 509 to 807 of the family's 1533-position model. The record is from RNAcentral.
CAGCCGCCGCGGUAAUACGAAGGGGGCUAGCGUUGUUCGGAAUGACUGGGCAUAAAGGGCGCGUAGGCGGCGGCCAAAGUCAGGCGUGAAAUUCCCGGGCUCAACCUGGGGGCUGCGUUUGAUACUUGGUUCCUUGAGUGGGGAAGAGGGUCGUGGAAUUCCCAGUGUAGAGGUGAAAUUCGUAGAUAUUGGGAAGAACACCGGUGGCGAAGGCGGCAACCUGGUCCUUGACUGACGCUGAGGCGCGAAAGCGUGGGGAGCAAACAGGAUUAGAGACCCCCGUAGUCCCUGUCUCUUAUAC